GAUGAACGCUGGCGGCGUGCCUAAUACAUGCAAGUCGAGCGAACGGACGAGAAGCUUGCUUCUCUGAUGUUAGCGGCGGACGGGUGAGUAACACGUGGAUAACCUACCUAUAAGACUGGGAUAACUUCGGGAAACCGGAGCUAAUACCGGAUAAUAUUUUGAACCGCAUGGUUCAAAAGUGAAAGACGGUCUUGCUGUCACUUAUAGAUGGAUCCGCGCUGCAUUAGCUAGUUGGUAAGGUAACGGCUUACCAAGGCAACGAUGCAUAGCCGACCUGAGAGGGUGACCGGCCACACUGGAACUGAGACACGGUCCAGACUCCUACGGGAGGCAGCGGUGGGGAAUCUUCCGCAAUGGGCGAAAGCCUGCGGGAGCAACGCCGGGUGAGUGAUGAAGUGCUUCGGAUCGUAAAACUCUUUUUUUGGGGAAAAACAAAUUUUUAAGUAACUGGGCACAUUUUGAGGGUACCUAAAAAGAAAGCCACGGCUAACUACGU
This 496-nucleotide ribosomal RNA is filed under the name uncultured bacterium. RNAcentral's name for it is "partial 16S ribosomal RNA". It matches the Rfam family "Bacterial small subunit ribosomal RNA", at positions 28 to 506 of the family's 1533-position model. The record is from RNAcentral.